This is a long non-coding RNA of Numida meleagris (helmeted guineafowl), 1468 nucleotides long. RefSeq lists it as uncharacterized. NCBI's taxonomy places the organism in Eukaryota, Metazoa, Chordata, Aves, Galliformes, Numididae. The transcript is spliced from 3 exons. The record is from RefSeq and is a predicted model, not a curated record.
AACGAAUGGUUGAGCACCAGGUGGGAAGGCAUAGCUAACCCAGGGAGCUCAGGUGCAAGCAAUGCACCUGAGUGACUGGAAGGAGUGGAUCCUGGCUCUGCCCCUCCUCACCUUCAUUUGAGGGUUAGCAGCCAGGGGUGUAGUAUCUCUUUGGAUAGAGAUUGUACUCCUCUCAAACUGUGUCCAGUUGUCAGAAUGGGGCAGUGGUGAUAGAGAACAGCACAGUGGUCUUCCCAUCCUCAGCCACUGUGCUGAAAUGCACAAAAUGGGAUUGAUCCUUCCCUUCGAGUCAGUUAUCUGAAACUCUGCAAACAAGUGGAAUUCUUUUUCAAACUCAACCAACAAACUGGAAGGCCCAGGAUGGCCUUCAGCUGCACCAUGUUUGGGGAGGGACAUCCCUGGAACGUGGAGGAAAUCCCCAGCUGUAUUGCUCCAAGACCUGGAUGCCCCUCAAGAGCUGAUGCAUUGUUAGGCUGAACUGCAGCUUGAUCCAGUUCUUCGCACUGGAGUGCAAGUGACUUUGUUGCUAACUAAUCACCAGGGUGGGUAUUUUCUGGCAACAUGAAAGCAAAUUCCGUGGAAGUGAUGGAAUCAUCGUGCCAUGUUUGACAGCAAACUUUGUUUGGGACCUUGUGACUGCUUUGUUGUUGUUUGUUGUUAUGAAAACAGAAAUUUUUUGUGGAAAGACAUUGAUUUCAGAGAAAAAAAAAGUCUUUUACAAGAAAUGGCAGCUGUGGUCAAAGAAGGAGGGAUUACAUGCUCUUUUGAAGCAGAGAGGUUCAGCCUCAGAUUCUAGCUGUGUUUCACCUGUUUUUUGAGUGCAAACCAGGGUCACUUCACCUUGGUGCUCUCUGAAGGAAUCCCUAUUCACUGACAGCUCUGUCCCCUCAGCUGAACAAACCCACAGAAAGGGUACACACUGUUAAAGAGGCAGAAGGCUGUGGCACAGAGAUAAGAGGUGUUUUAGGGAUCUGAGACAGCUAAAGGAGGUGGUAAUUUCCUUGGGGAGAGCCCACUGGUGCCUAGCAUGUCCCUCCCAUUACCAAAGGAUGGCUGUGUUAGGUAGUCAUGCCACUGAUUUUUUUGUGGGAUGCAAGAAAUAUGACAUCUCCAAUAUGGAGACUUUAAACAUAAGCAGGAACCCACUCAGAAGCCAUUCAAAGCUGAGUUCUCUGCACUGUGGAUCAGGGCUCUGCUCUCCAGGAGGAAGGUGGGGAAUUCAGCAAGGGGCACGAGGCAGUGAAGGCACUCGCUGUCUCUUGACAGUGUUUAAAACAUCCCAGCUUCAUUCCACACUGCAGCGAAACCUUGUUUCUGAAACUUCAGCACUUCUUUGUGAAAUGACAUUCUUGGUCUGGAGCCAGCCUGAAAAGACAGUCUCUGAGAUUGUCAGUUCAGCUUUAGCCCAAAGAAUGAUCAGGGAAAAAAAAAAAAAAAAAACUAUUACAGCUUGACAGCUGUUUUUGAC